This 91-nucleotide transfer RNA is filed under the name Streptomyces sp. V17-9. Its description in RNAcentral is "tRNA-Thr". Lineage: Bacteria; Bacillati; Actinomycetota; Actinomycetes; Kitasatosporales; Streptomycetaceae. The record is from RNAcentral.
GCCCGAGUAGGCCCCGGGUUCGGAAGCCGCCGCCUCGUGCGCGGCGUCGGGCGCCGACUCCGGCGCGCGUUCGGGCUCCUGCUCGGGCUCC